AGAGUUUGUCCUGGCUCAGAUUGAACGCUGGCGGCAUGCCUUACACAUGCAAGUCGAACGGCAGCACGGACUUCGGUCUGGUGGCGAGUGGCGAACGGGUGAGUAAUGCAUCGGAACGUGCCAUUGAGUGGGGGAUAACGUAGCGAAAGUUGCGCUAAUACCGCAUAUUCUGUGAGCAGGAAAGCAGGGGACCGCAAGGCCUUGCGCUCUUUGAGCGGCCGAUGUCAGAUUAGCUAGUUGGUGAGGUAAAGGCUUACCAAGGCGACGAUCUGUAGCGGGUCUGAGAGGAUGAUCCGCCACACUGGAACUGAGACACGGUCCAGACUCCUACGGGAGGCAGCAGUGGGGAAUUUUGGACAAUGGGGGCAACCCUGAUCCAGCCAUGCCGCGUGAGUGAAGAAGGCCUUCGGGUUGUAAAGCUCUUUCGGCCGGGAAGAAAUCGCAUGGGCCAAUACCCUGUGUGGAUGACGGUACCGGAAUAAGAAGCACCGGCUAACUACGUGCCAGCAGCCGCGGUAAUACGUAGGGUGCGAGCGUUAAUCGGAAUUACUGGGCGUAAAGCGUGCGCAGGCGGUUUUGUAAGACAGGCGUGAAAUCCCCGGGCUUAACCUGGGAACUGCGUUUGUGACUGCAAGGCUAGAGUACGGCAGAGGGGGGUGGAAUUCCAC
Molecule: ribosomal RNA, 668 nt
Filed under: uncultured bacterium
Lineage: Bacteria
Description: bacterial SSU rRNA
Rfam family: Bacterial small subunit ribosomal RNA
Source: RNAcentral